Molecule: ribosomal RNA, 460 nt
Filed under: uncultured bacterium
Lineage: Bacteria
Description: partial 16S ribosomal RNA
Rfam family: Bacterial small subunit ribosomal RNA
Source: RNAcentral
CCUACGGGAGACAGCAGUGAGGAAUAUUGGUCAAUGGGCGUAAGCCUGAACCAGCCAAGUCGCGUGAGGGAUGAAGGUUCUAUGGAUCGUAAACCUCUUUUAUAAGGGAAUAAAGUGUGGGACGUGUCCUGUUUUGUAUGUACCUUAUGAAUAAGGAUCGGCUAACUCCGUGCCAGCAGCCGCGGUAAUACGGAGGAUCCGAGCGUUAUCCGGAUUUAUUGGGUUUAAAGGGUGCGUAGGCGGCCUUUUAAGUCAGCUGUGAAAGUCUGUGGCUCAACCAUAGAAUUGCCGUUGAAACUGGGAGGCUUGAGUAUGUUUGAGGCAGGCGGAAGGCGUGGUGUAGCGGUGAAAUGCUUAGAUAUCACGCAGAACCCCGAUUGCGAAGGCAGCCUGCCAAGCCAUGACUGACGCUGAUGCACGAAAGCGUGGGGAUCAAACAGGAUUAGAUACCCCAGUAGUC